GUGCCAGCAGCCGCGGUAAUACGUAGGGUGCAAGCGUUAUCCGGAAUUAUUGGGCGUAAAGAGCUCGUAGGCGGUUUGUCGCGUCUGCUGUGAAAACUGGAGGCUCAACCUCCAGCUUGCAGUGGGUACGGGCAGACUAGAGUGCGGUAGGGGAGAUUGGAAUUCCUGGUGUAGCGGUGGAAUGCGCAGAUAUCAGGAGGAACACCGAUGGCGAAGGCAGAUCUCUGGGCCGUAACUGACGCUGAGGAGCGAAAGAGUGGGGAGCAAACAGGCUUAGAUACCCUGGUAGUCCACUCCGUAAACGUUGGGAACUAGUUGUGGGGGCCUUUCUACGGUCUCCGUGACGCAGCUAACGCAUUAAGUUCCCCGCCUGGGGAGUACGGCCGCAAGGCUAAAACUCAAAGGAAUUGACGGGGACCCGCACAAGCGGCGGAGCAUGCGGAUUAAUUCGAUGCAACGCGAAGAACCUUACCAAGGCUUGACAUAUACCGGAAACGGCUGGAAACAGUCGCCCCCUUGUGGUCGGUAUACAGGUGGUGCAUGGUUGUCGUCAGCUCGUGUCGUGAGAUGUUGGGUUAAGUCCCGCAACGAGCGCAACCCUCGUUCUAUGUUGCCAGCACGUUAUGGUGGGAACUCAUGGAAUACUGCCGGGGUCAACUCGGAGGAAGGUGGGGAUGACGUCAAAUCAUCAUGCCCCUUAUGUCUUGGGCUUCACGCAUGCUACAAUGGCCGGUACAAUGGGCUGCGAUACCGUGAGGUGGAGCGAAUCCCAAAAAGCCGGUCCCAGUUCGGAUUGUAGUCUGCAACUCGACUACAUGAAGUCGGAGUCGCUAGUAAUCGCAGAUCAGCAACGCUGCGGUGAAUACGUUCCCGGGUCUUGUACACACCGCCCGU
This 894-nucleotide ribosomal RNA is filed under the name uncultured bacterium. RNAcentral describes it as "bacterial SSU rRNA". It matches the Rfam family "Bacterial small subunit ribosomal RNA", at positions 505 to 1397 of the family's 1533-position model. The record is from RNAcentral.